GUCCACGCCCUAAACGAUGUCAACUGGUUGUUGGGUGCAUUAGUACUCAGUAACGAAGCUAACGCGUGAAGUUGACCGCCUGGGGAGUACGGCCGCAAGGUUGAAACUCAAAAGGAAUUGACGGGGACCCGCACAAGCGGUGGAUGAUGUGGUUUAAUUCGAUGCAACGCGAAAAAACCUUACCUACCUUUGACAUGUAUGGAAUUCACCAGAGAUGGCUUAGUGCUCGAAAGAGAGCCAUAACACAGGUGCUGCAUGGCUGUCGU
This 266-nucleotide ribosomal RNA is filed under the name uncultured bacterium. RNAcentral's name for it is "partial 16S ribosomal RNA". It matches the Rfam family "Bacterial small subunit ribosomal RNA", at positions 793 to 1055 of the family's 1533-position model. The record is from RNAcentral.